Molecule: ribosomal RNA, 549 nt
Filed under: uncultured bacterium
Lineage: Bacteria
Description: bacterial SSU rRNA
Rfam family: Bacterial small subunit ribosomal RNA
Source: RNAcentral
UGGGGAAUAUUGCACAAUGGGCGCAAGCCUGAUGCAGCCAUGCCGCGUGUGUGAAGAAGGCCUUCGGGUUGUAAAGCACUUUCAGCGGGGAGGAAGGCGGUGAGGUUAAUAACCUCACCGAUUGACGUUACCCGCAGAAGAAGCACCGGCUAACUCCGUGCCAGCAGCCGCGGUAAUACGGAAGGUGCAAGCGUUAAUCGGAAUUACUGGGCGUAAAGCGCACGCAGGCGGUCUGUCAAGUCGGAUGUGAAAUCCCCGGGCUCAACCUGGGAACUGCAUUCGAAACUGGCAGGCUAGAGUCUUGUAGAGGGGGGUAGAAUUCCAGGUGUAGCGGUGAAAUGCGUAGAGAUCUGGAGGAAUACCGGUGGCGAAGGCGGCCCCCUGGACAAAGACUGACGCUCAGGUGCGAAAGCGUGGGGAGCAAACAGGAUUAGAUACCCUGGUAGUCCACGCUGUAAACGAUGUCGAUUUGGAGGUUGUGCCCUUGAGGCGUGGCUUCCGGAGCUAACGCGUUAAAUCGACCGCCUGGGGAGUACGGCCGCAAGGUUA